GACGAACGCUGGCGGCGUGCCUAAUACAUGCAAGUAGAACGCACAGUUUAUACCGUAGCUUGCUACACCAUAAACUGUGAGUUGCGAACGGGUGAGUAACGCGUAGGUAACCUGCCUGGUAGCGGGGGAUAACUAUUGGAAACGAUAGCUAAUACCGCAUAAUAUUGAUUAUUGCAUGAUAAUUGAUUGAAAGAUGCUAUUGCAUCACUACCAGAUGGACCUGCGUUGUAUUAGCUAGUAGGUGAGGUAACGGCUCACCUAGGCGACGAUACAUAGCCGAACUUCGGGGGUGUUCGGCCACUCUGGGACUGAGACACGGCCCAGACUCCUACGGGAGGCAGCAGUAGGGGAUCUUCGGCAAUGGACGAAAGUCUGACCCAGCAACGCCGCGUGAGUGAAGAAGGUUUUCGGAUCGUAAAGCUCUGUUGUUAGGUAAGAACGGGUGUGAGAGUGGAAAGUUCACACUGUGACGGUAUCUUACCAGAAAGGGACGGCUAACUACGUG
This 505-nucleotide ribosomal RNA is filed under the name uncultured bacterium. RNAcentral's name for it is "partial 16S ribosomal RNA". It matches the Rfam family "Bacterial small subunit ribosomal RNA", at positions 28 to 507 of the family's 1533-position model. The record is from RNAcentral.